Molecule: ribosomal RNA, 488 nt
Filed under: uncultured bacterium
Lineage: Bacteria
Description: bacterial SSU rRNA
Rfam family: Bacterial small subunit ribosomal RNA
Source: RNAcentral
GACGACGCUGGCGGGCGUGGAUUAGGCAUGCAAGUCGAACGGUAGGAUACCUUCGGGUAUCUGAGAGUGGCGAACGGGUGAGUAACACGUAGGUGAUCUACCCUCAAGAUUGGGACAACCCAGGGAAACUUGGGCUAAUACCGGAUGAAAGCAGCAGUGAUGUUGUUUGAAAGGUGGCGUAAGCUGCCGUUUGGGGAUGAGCCUGCGCUCUAUUAGUUAGUUGGCGGGGUAAAGGCCCACCAAGGCGAUGAUAGAUAGGCGGCCUUAACGGGUGGUCGCCCACACUGGGAUUGAGAUACGGCCCAGACUCCUACGGGAGGCAGCAGUCGAGAAUAGUCUACAAUGGCCGAAAGGCUGAUAGUGCGACGCCGCGUGAACGAAGAAGCCCUUCGGGGUGUAAAGUUCUUUUAUAUGUGAGCAGUGCUUUCUAUGUGAACAGCAUGGGGAGAGAGAUAUUAGCAUAUGAAUAAGCAACGGCUAACUCCGUG